This 426-nucleotide ribosomal RNA is filed under the name uncultured bacterium. RNAcentral describes it as "bacterial SSU rRNA". It matches the Rfam family "Bacterial small subunit ribosomal RNA", at positions 356 to 774 of the family's 1533-position model. The record is from RNAcentral.
GGGGAAUAUUGGACAAUGGGGGCAACCCUGAUCCAGCAAUGCCGCGUGCGUGAAGAAGGCCUUCGGGUUGUAAAGCACUUUUAUCGGGAACGAAACAUUGUCGGCCAAUACCCGGCAAGACUGACGGUACCCGAGGAAUAAGCACCGGCUAACUCCGUGCCAGCAGCCGCGGUAAUACGGAGGGUGCAAGCGUUAAUCGGAAUUACUGGGCGUAAAGCGUGCGCAGGCGGUUUGUUAAGUCUGCUGUGAAAUCCCCGAGCUCAACUUGGGAAUUGCAGUGGAUACUGGCAAGCUGGAGUACGGUAGAGGAAGGUGGAAUUCCCGGUGUAGCAGUGAAAUGCGUAGAGAUCGGGAGGAACACCAGUGGCGAAGGCGGCCUUCUGGACCAGUACUGACGCUCAUGCACGAAAGCGUGGGGAGCAAACA